Molecule: ribosomal RNA, 443 nt
Filed under: uncultured bacterium
Lineage: Bacteria
Description: partial 16S ribosomal RNA
Rfam family: Bacterial small subunit ribosomal RNA
Source: RNAcentral
CCUACGGGAGGCAGCAGUGGGGAAUAUUGGGCAAUGGGCGCAAGCCUGACCCAGCAACGCCGCGUGAAGGAAGAAGGCUUUCGGGUUGUAAACUUCUUUUGUCAGGGACGAAGCAAGUGACGGUACCUGACGAAUAAGCCACGGCUAACUACGUGCCAGCAGCCGCGGUAAUACGUAGGUGGCAAGCGUUAUCCGGAUUUACUGGGUGUAAAGGGCGUGUAGGCGGGACUGCAAGUCAGAUGUGAAAACCACGGGCUCAACCUGUGGCCUGCAUUUGAAACUGUAGUUCUUGAGUACUGGAGAGGCAGACGGAAUGCCUUGUGUAGCGGUGAAAUGCGUAGAUAUAAGGAAGAACACCAGUGGCGAAGGCGGAUGACUGGACGGCAACUGACGGUGAGGCGCGAAAGCGUGGGGAGCAAACAGGAUUAGAUACCCCAGUAGUC